RNAcentral lists this ribosomal RNA (1119 nucleotides) under uncultured organism. RNAcentral's name for it is "SSU rRNA". It matches the Rfam family "Bacterial small subunit ribosomal RNA", at positions 28 to 1154 of the family's 1533-position model. The record is from RNAcentral.
GACGAACGCUGGCGGCGUGCUUAACACAUGCAAGUCGAACGGAAAGGCCCUGCUUUUGUGGGGUGCUCGAGUGGCGAACGGGUGAGUAACACGUGGGUAACCUGCCCUUGACUUUGGGAUAACUUCAGGAAACUGGGGCUAAUACCGGAUAGGAGCUCCUGCUGCAUGGUGGGGGUUGGAAAGUUUCGGCGGUUGGGGAUGGACUCGCGGCUUAUCAGCUUGUUGGUGGGGUAGUGGCUUACCAAGGCUUUGACGGGUAGCCGGCCUGAGAGGGUGACCGGCCACAUUGGGACUGAGAUACGGCCCAGACUCCUACGGGAGGCAGCAGUGGGGUAUAUUGCACAAUGGGCGGAAGCCUGAUGCAGCAACGCCGCGUGCGGGAUGACGGCCUUCGGGUUGUAAACCGCUUUCGCCUGUGACGAAGCGUGAGUGACGGUAAUGGGUAAAGAAGCACCGGCUAACUACGUGCCAACAGCCGCGGUGAUACGUAGGGUGCGAGCGUUGUCCGGAUUUAUUGGGCGUAAAGGGCUCGUAGGUGGUUGAUCGCGUCGGAAGUGUAAUCUUGGGGCUUAACCCUGAGCGUGCUUUCGAUACGGGUUGACUUGAGGAAGGUAGGGGAGAAUGGAAUUCCUGGUGGAGCGGUGGAAUGCGCAGAUAUCAGGAGGAACACCAGUGGCGAAGGCGGUUCUCUGGGCCUUUCCUGACGCUGAGGAGCGAAAGCGUGGGGAGCGAACAGGCUUAGAUACCCUGGUGGUCCACGCUGUAAACGGUGGGUACUAGGUGUGGGGUCCAUUCCACGGGUUCCGUGCCGUAGCUAGCGCUUUAAGUACCCCGCCUGGGGAGUACGGCCGCAAGGCUAAAACUCAAAGGAAUUGACGGGGCCCCGCACAGGCGGCGGAGCAUGCGGAUUAAUUCGAUGCAACGCGUAGAACCUUACCUGGGUUUGACAUGGAUCGGGAGUGCUCAGAGAUGGGUGUGCCUCUUUUGGGGUCGGUUCACAGGUGGUGCAUGGCUGUCGUCAGCUCGUGUCGUGAGAUGUUGGGUUAAGUUCCCGCAACGAGCGCAACCCUUGUUCACUGUUGCCAGCACGUUAUGGUGGGGACUCAGUGGAGACCGCCG